CUUUUGGGUUUAUGUUAUGCUGUUUGGUAAAUUGUCUAGGAAGUGCUUUUGGUCCAAUUUGCUUCUCCUAGAAUCUGAAAUUGAGAAGCACCCAAGUACCAGCUUUGGGAAACUGCUUCUGUCAAAACACGAAGUGAACAGUAUUGAUUAAAUGAAAGUUUCUCCUUUUUCCUAUUAUGUCCUCAUCUUUUCUAUAGGGUUUCGUUUCUUCCUUCUUUCUUCCCAGAUCUCUCUUCCAGUUUUGAUCGAUCCAGAUCUCUCUUCCCAGCCUGGCAGCCUCCUCCUCAAAACCAUCGAUCGAUUUCGUUAAGAGCAUCUCUCUUCCCAGCCUCUUCCUCAAAACCAUCGAUCUCAAAACCAUCGGUUUCUAUAGAAAUCGAUCUCUCAAGAGGAUUCAAAACCCAAUUCGGUCUCUCCUCCGCCACACGCCCCAAACCCAAAGCAAACCAUCGAUCGAUCUCUCAAGAGGAUUCAAAACCCAACUCCGUCGCUCCUCCGCCACACGCCCCAAACCCAAAGCAUUCCCGGAUCGAUCUCUCUGUCUCUUCAAAACCCAACUCCUCAUGGAUGGUUUUUGGGACAUGAGUGCAAGAGAUCGAGAGUUUUGUCUUAAACCAAAAAGUCACGUCUGACCGAUAAAAAGACUUAACUCACUGUAAGUCCUCUUGGUCCUAGAAUCACCGAUACCACUGUGAGCCAAUUGAAAUUAUGGGAUGGAGCCAAUUGAAAAUGGGUUUGUUCCUAGAAUCCCAUAUGGAGACAAUCUGUGGGUUCUCUUAAAGCAUCAGCUAUAUUGUGAAGGUGCUGGGUGUAUUUAUCAUUCCGUUCAUAAAAACUGUUCAACAGGGUGCAGCAACCACAUGCUUUGUGGCACUCCAUCCACAAGUUAAGGGAGUAAGCGGCGAAUAUUUUGCAGACUGUAACAUUGCCAAACCGAGCAAUCAGGCCAAAGAUGUAGAUUUGGCUUCCAAACUUUGGGAUUUUAGCUUGAGCAUGACUAAUCUCAAGUAGUAUAUAUAUGUAUAAGGUCUUAAUGUUAACUUGCUGCACUGUUUCUCAUUGAAUCAAAUUGUAAAGAAACUAUUGCUUCUCCUCCCAUGUAAUCGUUGUGCGUAUCAUGAAUGAAAAUAAAACGUAUAUAUGUUUUG
RNA transcript from Rosa rugosa (rugosa rose), 1148 nucleotides. It is a transcript of the gene named short-chain dehydrogenase TIC 32, chloroplastic-like, with no coding region annotated. The record is from RefSeq and is a predicted model, not a curated record. The transcript has 4 exons. NCBI's taxonomy places the organism in Eukaryota, Viridiplantae, Streptophyta, Magnoliopsida, Rosales, Rosaceae.